UCUGUCGCAGGUCAGGCACCGAGGAGCAAUAUAGCGAAAAGGAACACCUCCUCCAGGAGAUCGCCGAUCUGACAAGAGAAUUUCACUACAAGUACAAGGCGGCGGCCGUCCGGAGAGCGGCCCCGUCACGCCCGAAGCUCACAGCCACCGAACGAAGCGACGCGUCUGCGUUACGGGACACCGCCGCCGCAACCAACUUAGCAUAUUCCAUGAAUGGCAGCGCAACUGCGGACGCAUGCCGUGCCUCCACUUCCACUGAUGCUGCUGCUGCAGCGUACGUGGCAACCUCUUCGGUCGUCGAGGUACCGGAAAGUGCUGGCAACAUAUGGACCACUUGUGUUGUGGAUACGGCAGAGCUCCUCUCGGCGGCAGAUGCAGGCGACACAUAUGAAAUUGUUGGUCUUGACGUGAGCAGAGAGU
Ixodes scapularis (black-legged tick) is the source of this 420-nucleotide long non-coding RNA. RefSeq lists it as uncharacterized. Lineage: Eukaryota; Metazoa; Arthropoda; Arachnida; Ixodida; Ixodidae. The transcript has 3 exons. The record is from RefSeq and is a predicted model, not a curated record.